This 930-nucleotide ribosomal RNA is filed under the name uncultured bacterium. RNAcentral's name for it is "bacterial SSU rRNA". It matches the Rfam family "Bacterial small subunit ribosomal RNA", at positions 17 to 950 of the family's 1533-position model. The record is from RNAcentral.
UAUCUGGCUAGGACGACGCUGGCGGUGCGCCUAAUGCAUGCAAGUCGAACGGACGGCAUAGAUUCGUCUUUGUCGUUAGUGGCGGACGGCUGAGUAACACGUAAGUGACCUACCCUGAAGAGGGGGAUAACCCCGAGAAAUCGGGCCUAAUACCCCGUAAGCUCCGAUCGUCAAGGCGAACGGAGGAGAGGUUCCCGGCUAGUUCGGGUUCCGCUUUAGGAGGGGCUUGCGGCCUAUCAGGUAGUUGGUGGGGUAAUGGCCUACCAAGCCGAAUACGGGUAACCGGUGUGAGAGCAUGAUCGGUCAGAGGGGGACUGAGACACGGCCCCCACUCCUACGGGAGGCAGCAGCAGGGAAUCUUGCGCAAUGGGCGAAAGCCUGACGCAGCGACACCGCGUGGGGGAAGAAGGCUUUAGGGUCGUAAACCCCUUUUAUCAGGGAGGAGAAUGGACAGUACCUGAUGAAUAAGGUUCGGCUAACUACGUGCCAGCAGCCGCGGUAAUACGUAGGAACCGAGCGUUGUCCGAAUUUACUGGGCGUAAAGGGCGCGUAGGCGGCUUGUUAAGUCUUAUGUGAAAUCUCCCGGCUCAACUGGGAGGGGACAUGGGAAACUGGCAGGCUCGAGGGCAGUAGAGGGAAGCGGAAUUCCCGGAGUAGUGGUGGAAUGCGUAGAUACCGGGAGGAACACCAGAGGCGAAAGCGGCUUCCUGGGCUGUCCCUGACGCUGAGGCGCGAAAGCGUGGGGAGCAAACCGGAUUAGAUACCCGGGUAGUCCACGCCCUAAACGAUGGAUACUAGGUAUGGGGGGUAUCGACCCCUCCCGUGCCGCAGCUAACGCAAUAAGUAUCCCGCCUGGGGAGUACGGCCGCAAGGCUAAAACUCAAAGGAAUUGACGGGGGCCCGCACAAGCAGCGGAGCGUGUGGUUUAAA